This 491-nucleotide ribosomal RNA is filed under the name uncultured bacterium. RNAcentral's name for it is "partial 16S ribosomal RNA". It matches the Rfam family "Bacterial small subunit ribosomal RNA", at positions 29 to 507 of the family's 1533-position model. The record is from RNAcentral.
AGUGAACGCUGGCGGUAGGCCUAACACAUGCAAGUCGAACGGCAGCACAGUAAGAGCUUGCUCUUACGGGUGGCGAGUGGCGGACGGGUGAGGAAUACAUCGGAAUCUACUUUUUCGUGGGGGAUAACGUAGGGAAACUUACGCUAAUACCGCAUACGACCUACGGGUGAAAGCAGGGGAUCUUCGGACCUUGCGCGAUUGAAUGAGCCGAUGUCGGAUUAGCUAGUUGGCGGGGUAAAGGCCCACCAAGGCGACGAUCCGUAGCUGGUCUGAGAGGAUGAUCAGCCACACUGGAACUGAGACACGGUCCAGACUCCUACGGGAGGCAGCAGUGGGGAAUAUUGGACAAUGGGCGCAAGCCUGAUCCAGCCAUACGCGUGGGUGAAGAAGGCCUUCGGGUUGUAAAGCCCUUUUGUUGGGAAAGAAAAGCAGCAGGUUAAUACCCCGCUGUUCUGACGGUACCCAAAGAAUAAGCACCGGCUAACUUCGUG